UGCGUAGGCGGGCUAAUAAGUCAGUGGUGAAAUCUUUCGGCUCAACCGAGAAACUGCCAUUGAUACUGUUAGUCUUGAGUUCGGUUGAGGUAGGCGGAAUGUGUAAUGUAGCGGUGAAAUGCUUAGAUAUUACACAGAACACCAAUUGCGUAGGCAGCUUACUAGACCGACACUGACGCUGAGGCACGAAAGCGUGGGGAGCGAACAGGAUUAGAUACCUGGUAGUC
RNAcentral lists this ribosomal RNA (227 nucleotides) under uncultured bacterium. Its description in RNAcentral is "partial 16S ribosomal RNA". It matches the Rfam family "Bacterial small subunit ribosomal RNA", at positions 568 to 795 of the family's 1533-position model. The record is from RNAcentral.